CUCGCUUUAGCUCAUCCGGUAGGGCAACGGACUGUAGUUCCGUAGGACGUCGGUUCAAAUCCAAUACGUGAGA
This is a non-coding RNA of Paramuricea clavata, 73 nucleotides long. Lineage: Eukaryota; Metazoa; Cnidaria; Anthozoa; Malacalcyonacea; Plexauridae. The record is from the annotation of a GenBank genome assembly.